This 491-nucleotide ribosomal RNA is filed under the name Mycosphaerella coffeicola. Its description in RNAcentral is "SSU rRNA". It matches the Rfam family "Bacterial small subunit ribosomal RNA", at positions 395 to 909 of the family's 1533-position model. The record is from RNAcentral. Lineage: Eukaryota; Fungi; Ascomycota; Dothideomycetes; Mycosphaerellales; Mycosphaerellaceae.
AUUUGGGGGAAUGAGUUAUAUAUUGAAAUAUAAAUAUAUACGCAUCGACUAUGUCGUAUAAAGUUCUAAAUAGAAGAUUGAUUAUGACAGAUUUCUAUUUAUGUGUCUCGACCAAUUCUUGUGCCAGCAGUCGCGGCAACACAAGCGAGACUAGUGUUAUUCAUCUUUAUUAGGUUUAAAGGGUACCUAGACGGUAUUUUCAGCCUGUGCAGGGUACAAAAAUACUAGAGUUUUAUUUGAGAGGUAAAUAUUAGGACUAUUGGUGUAAAGAUGAAAUUUUUUGAUACUAAUGGGACGGAUAACGGCGAAGGCAAUCCUCUAUAUAUGAACUGACGUUAAGGGACGAAGGCUUGGGGAGCGAAUAGGAUUAGAUACCCUAGUAGUCCAGGCAGAAAAUUAUGAAUGUUAUAGACCAAGAAAAAAUUGGUGUGUAAUGAAAGUGUAAGCAUUCCACCUCAAGAGUAAUGUGGCAACGCAGGAACUGAAAUCAU